Long non-coding RNA from Ictalurus punctatus (channel catfish), 4096 nucleotides. RefSeq lists it as uncharacterized. The record is from RefSeq and is a predicted model, not a curated record. NCBI's taxonomy places the organism in Eukaryota, Metazoa, Chordata, Actinopteri, Siluriformes, Ictaluridae. The transcript has 6 exons.
UCAUAUUUUUUUUGCAUCUAAUUCUAGUAAAAACUGAAAGAACAAAAAAAAAAAAGCUGUUAACGGGUUUUAAAUGAUUUUUUAAAGAGAAAUUCAACUCGUUUAAUCAAUUGUAUAUAUACACAACAGUACUUUAAAAAAAAGAGAGAGAGCCGUAAAUCAUGAUUGAUUGCCGUACUGAUCGUUUUGCAGCAGUUGGGAGCAACAGGAAUACGGCAUGAGAGAACCUGAAGAAGAAGAAAAAACGUUGCCAGGUUUUUGUCACUUCUUCAUGUAAUGUUCUGAUGCCCCGACACUCCCAGCGUGUGCUUCCGGUUCCGGUGUGGAGCUAUCCUGUUCAGCUGUUCUGCUUUCAGGUAGAAAGGAACCCGAAUUCGCACAAAGCACCCAGUUGUUAACCUGGUUUUAUUCAUUCCAAGCCUCAGUAACGCCAAACAAGUCGAUAAGUAGUGCCCUGUCCUGUGGGUGGAGGUUUCAGGAAUAAAACACUCUCCAUAGGUCUAAUAAAUAAACAAAAUAUUAUCGCAGGCUCGUCGUGUUUAUCAUGAGCUACAGCACUUCUUCAUAUCAGUUUAAAACUACAUCAUCAUCAUCAUCCACUUUUAUUGAAGAUAUUCAUGAGAAACCCAUUUAGUUUCAGGUCAGAUUUUCCUCAAACACGCGAUCACACGAUGAUCCAACACGGAUCGUCAGAUUUUGGAUGAACUUGUGGCGUCCAUGCCAGCUCGAGAGCACGCUGUCGUUAAAGGAAUAGGGGAGACGUACUGACUGUAAAGAAAUUCCGAAGCUCACAACCCCAGGUUCCUGUUUGGGACCGAGUCUAGUUCUGUGACAUCACGGGGAAAAGAAACCGAAAGGGUUCGUGACUUACCCGUGGCCCUCUGCGUCCAGGGUUUCCUUUGGCCCCGAUAACCCCGACUGCACCGUACAGUCCCUGAGGAGAAGCCAUCAAGAAAAUCUAAAUGAGGACCCUGAAGAGAGAGAGCGAGAGAGAGAGAGAGAGAGAGAGAGCAGAACACUAUGACUGAGACAAACACAUGAGGAGUCAAAUUACUGAGACCGAGGACCACAAAAGGGCUGCGGGGAACCCGGAGCCUGGCCCAGGGGACUCGGGGCACGAGGCAGGGGACACCCGGGACAGGGUGCCAACCUAUUGCAGGGCUCUCUCUCUGUCUCUCUCUCUCUCUGUCUGUCUGUCUGUUUGUCUCUGUCUCUCUCACACACACACACACAAACACACACUCAUGUAGCAGGGACAAUUUAGAGAUGCCACUCAGCCUACAACCCAUAUCUUUGGACUCGGGAGGAAACCGGAGUACAGGGAGGAAGUCCUCAAAGCACGUGGACAACAUGCAAACUCCGCACACACCGGGUGGAGGCGGGACUCGAACCUCACAACCCCAGAAGUGUGAUGCUAAUCGCUAACGUUCUACUAUACUUAAGUACAAGUCCUAUAAAAUGUCAUUCAAAUAUAGUAACAAAGUAUAAUUACUGGAAAAUUUUGGGUUUUAGCAAAACAAACAAAAAAACCUACCACUAUUAGCUAAUUUUAAUUAUACAAUCUCGUUAAUCCACCGUAAACAGUCACCGAGUGUGGUUACGAGCCACACGAGGAAAAAGCAGCGAAACCGACAUGCCACGUCCUUCUUCCUAAAUUAGUGAUGCUUAGCACAGACACCUACACGCGCACACACACACACAGACAGACGCAGGGCCUCCAAUGUGCUGCUUCUUGUCCCCUGUGUUUACUGCCUUGGCAGAGUUCCACGUUAGGUUACGCUCACAGAUGUGAUCCUAAGCAGAUGCGCACCCACCAGAAACGAAAACCCGACCAACUCAUGUCUGAAACGUGGACCAGUGGACGAGUUACUCAUCCACGAUGUUAAAUUAUGCCCCCGCUGACACGUCCAAUAUACAAGCGCGCCGUUCCGAUCGAGCCUUUGCGGAUUUUCUCGCUUUUGUUUACUGCUUCGGGAGGAAUUCUGUCGGCCGAGCUCAAACAAUCAUAUUUCACGCUCGUGUCUGCUGCGAGACUAGCGAACUCAGCAGAGAAUUUAAAGGCUAGUGUGUCUACAUGUGUGUAUGUAUGAGUAUAUACAGUAUAUGUACGUGUGCGUGUGUUUAUCUUGACGUGACCGCGAUGAAUCUGCAGUACAGUGAGGUGCAGCACCGCGUGAUCCUGACACGGUCUGGAUGCAGCCGGGCUGGAUCUACACGUUCUCCACCGAGGACAGCCAGCGCCACAAGGAAGGCUGAGUCAUCCCGAGAGGGCGCUGGUGCUGGUGAGGGAGAGCGAGGGGCUGGAGGAGCACGUGGCCUUAGGCGCAUCCUGAAAACAGGUGCAUGACAAGGCCGCGUGCUGGUGUUUCCAGAGAGCUGCCAAUGGGAGAAAAGCGGGAACGUCAAUCAGAGGCGUUACACAAACACUGGUCAUAGCCGAUCGACGAGGUGGUCCUCAAAAAUCCGCUUUACCUCGACUGAAAUAUAAGAGAUGGUCAAUAUGAUCGAUUUUUAAAUGCGCAGGCAUGUGUGAUUGAUAAUGUCAAUCAUUUUUUUAAUUAAAAAAAGAGUAGGAGUGAGCAAUAUGUCAUUAAUAAAUCAUGUGAUGUUACGCUGUUACAGGAAAAUAAUCAACGACAGCGUGGUGUGACGAAGCGGAGUUGCUCUCACCCCAAAUAUGAUUGUUUUAUUCCCCUUACACCACAGAAGUGUACAGGCAGUUACUUUCUUUUCUUAUUGCAGAAUCUUAUACUAGACUCUUCUACUUUUAGAAACCUGUUUAUAGUUCAAUGCGAUGUGCAGCAGGUAGCGCCGUUCCCUCCUCAGCCAUGAAGACGUCGUAAAACUUAAAGAGCAAACUUACACACAGCUCUUACAAAGCGCUGCCAAUUUCAUAAACGUCUCCUUACAGAAAACUUCACUGGAUAAAAUGAGUAUGCUUUAGGGAAGCAUCCAACAAGGAAAAGGGUGACAUCUGCAAUGAUUGGUACAAAAGGAUAUGUGGUGCAUGUCAAGAGUAUAUUCUUAGCUUACUGUAUGUGAAAGACACAUAGAUUCAUAUAGUGUAUGAAUAUACUUACUGGGAGAGAUAUGCACACUGUUAUAGACACACUGCAGUAAGGUGCUUGUUAGUUACAUACACACAGUAAAUAUGUUCAGAGACACUGCAGCAACCUACACAUGGUUACAUACACACAGCAACUACCCUCAUAGAGGCACUGCAGCACCGUACACAUGGUUACAUACAUACAAUUACUACAUUCAUAGACAUACUGCAGCAAGGUACACAUAGUUACAUACACAGAAUUAGUACAUUCAGAAACACACUGCAGCAAGGUACACAUGGUUACAGCCCUAGAACCUAUACCCUCAUAGACACAGCAGUUAGAUGCACAUUGAGAUGAUAGCAACACAUAUAUUCAAGGAUUAUUCAAACCAGACACAUAGUGACCCAAGCUGCCCCGAGUAUUGAACCUAGUAUCUAUGAUGAGAGGAGCGCACACACUUAUUUCUCUGAGCCACUUCAACACGCUCUGAGCAGCUGGUAAUUAUAUCUCAGGUCACAUCCUGAGCAGGAGCCUGAAGGUAGCGUGUCAGUGUUGAGGAUAAACUUGAUAAACGCAAAGCUGUUUGUAUGACUGCUUGUGGCGCUCUAGAAAGAUGUAUGCUUCUUAUUCCUGAGGUUCUUGGUUCAAAGCUACCUUCUUAUGUGUAGCUUUUUGCUCUGAUAUGAAUAUGUAUGCAAAACAACCAGUCGCUCUUCAGCAGUAUCAGUGGCACAAUAGGAUAAACUACUGCUCUGAGAUGAUGCUGAAGUCCUGGGUUCAAGUCCUGAUAAAGACUAGGGUUUUAAGUGUAUGUGAAUUUCCAUGAUUUAGCACAAACUUUUAGCAAUGCGUAAUUAUAGUAAGCAGGUUGUUAGUUAUUUGUCUAAUAACUUUAAUAAUAAUUUUAGUGGCACAGGAGUGUGUAUUAUGAGUGUAUAACAUAGCAAAGUAUGUCACAUAUUUAUAUACACUUGUCCAUAUACACCUGCAGGCAAAUACUAGUCACACAAGUAAUAGGCGCCUGCAUAUAUAAAUGUGUAUAUGUAGAU